CCUACGGGAGGCAGCAGUGGGGAAUUUUGGACAAUGGGCGCAAGCCUGAUCCAGCAAUGCCGCGUGCAGGAUGAAGGCCUUCGGGUUGUAAACUGCUUUUGUACGGAACGAAACGGUCUGCCCUAAUACGGUGGGCUAAUGACGGUACCGUAAGAAUAAGCACCGGCUAACUACGUGCCAGCAGCCGCGGUAAUACGUAGGGUGCGAGCGUUAAUCGGAAUUACUGGGCGUAAAGCGUGCGCAGGCGGUUAUAUAAGACAGAUGUGAAAUCCCCGGGCUCAACCUGGGACCUGCAUUUGUGACUGUAUAGCUAGAGUACGGUAGAGGGGGAUGGAAUUCCGCGUGUAGCAGUGAAAUGCGUAGAUAUGCGGAGGAACACCGAUGGCGAAGGCAAUCCCCUGGACCUGUACUGACGCUCAUGCACGAAAGCGUGGGGAGCAAACAGGAUUAGAUACCCUGGUAGUCCACGCCCUAAACGAUGUCAACUGGUUGUUGGGUCUUCACUGACUCAGUAACGAAGCUAACGCGUGAAGUUGACCGCCUGGGGAGUCGGCCGCAAGGUUGAAACUCAAAGGAUUGACGGCNGAGAGNGCGACGACGACGACGAGGGAGGAGG
This 616-nucleotide ribosomal RNA is filed under the name uncultured bacterium. RNAcentral describes it as "bacterial SSU rRNA". It matches the Rfam family "Bacterial small subunit ribosomal RNA", at positions 338 to 951 of the family's 1533-position model. The record is from RNAcentral.